This is a long non-coding RNA of Harmonia axyridis, 348 nucleotides long. RefSeq lists it as uncharacterized. Lineage: Eukaryota; Metazoa; Arthropoda; Insecta; Coleoptera; Coccinellidae. The transcript has 2 exons. The record is from RefSeq and is a predicted model, not a curated record.
CUGAUAUGAAUUUUUAUAUUUCAAAAAAGAAUAAUGAAAUACUGACAAAGAAAAAAAAGAUUAUGUUUGGUUCUCCAUUAACUGACUUUCAAAGGAUGAAAAAAUAAUUUCAAAUUUAUGUGAAAAUAUGGAUUUUAUUCGUUAAGUUUCAAAUACGAUGUCAGACUUUUCAAAAACAUAUAAAGCUUCCCUAAAAUGUAGGGAAGAUUAUUUAACAAAAUUCAAUACAAUGAAAAUACAGUAGUCACAAUUACAGAUCUACAUGUUGGCAAGUAAGUUCAUAAGGAAAUAAUUUUGAAUUAUAAAAUUUUAAAUAAUAAAAUAAAUAAAUAAAAUUGAUAAAAUAUA